This 253-nucleotide ribosomal RNA is filed under the name uncultured bacterium. RNAcentral describes it as "partial 16S ribosomal RNA". It matches the Rfam family "Bacterial small subunit ribosomal RNA", at positions 524 to 776 of the family's 1533-position model. The record is from RNAcentral.
UACGUAGGGUGCGAGCGUUGUCCGGAAUUAUUGGGCGUAAAGAGCUCGUAGGCGGUCCGUCGCGUCGAAUGUGAAAACCCGGGGCUCAACCCCGGGCUUGCAUUCGAUACGGGCGGACUAGAGUUCGGUAGGGGAGACUGGAAUUCCUGGUGUAGCGGUGAAAUGCGCAGAUAUCAGGAGGAACACCGGUGGCGAAGGCGGGUCUCUGGGCAGUAACUGACGCUGAGGAGCGAAAGCGUGGGGAGCGAACAGG